RNAcentral lists this ribosomal RNA (427 nucleotides) under uncultured bacterium. Its description in RNAcentral is "partial 16S ribosomal RNA". It matches the Rfam family "Bacterial small subunit ribosomal RNA", at positions 354 to 796 of the family's 1533-position model. The record is from RNAcentral.
GUGGGGAAUAUUGGGCAAUGGGGGCAACCCUGACCCAGCGACGCCGCGUGAGGGAAGAAGGCCUUAGGGUCGUAAACCUCUGUUGUGUGGGAAGAAGGAAGUGACGGUACCACACGAGGAAGUCCCGGCUAACUACGUGCCAGCAGCCGCGGUAAUACGUAGGGGACGAGCGUUGUCCGGAAUUACUGGGCGUAAAGGGCGCGUAGGCGAUCAUUUAAGUCAGCUGUGAAAUGGUCCGGCUCAACCGGAUCAUGCGGUUGAAACUGGAUGACUGGAGUGCUGGAGAGGCAAGUGGAAUUCCCAGUGUAGCGGUGAAAUGCGUAGAUAUUGGGAAGAACACCGGUGGCGAAGGCGACUUGCUGGCCAGCAACUGACGCUGAGGCGCGAAAGCCAGGGGAGCAAACGGGAUUAGAAACCCGAGUAGUCC